CAGCAGCCGCGGUAAUACGUAGGGUGCAAGCGUUAAUCGGAAUUACUGGGCGUAAAGCGUGCGCAGGCGGUCAUAUAAGACAGAUGUGAAAUCCCCGGGCUCAACCUGGGAACUGCAUUUGUGACUGUAUAGCUAGAGUACGGCAGAGGGGGAUGGAAUUCCGCGUGUAGCAGUGAAAUGCGUAGAUAUGCGGAGGAACACCGAUGGCGAAGGCAAUCCCCUGGGCCUGUACUGACGCUCAUGCACGAAAGCGUGGGGAGCAAACAGGAUUAGAUACCCCCGUAGUCCCUGUCUCUUAUAC
RNAcentral lists this ribosomal RNA (301 nucleotides) under uncultured bacterium. Its description in RNAcentral is "partial 16S ribosomal RNA". It matches the Rfam family "Bacterial small subunit ribosomal RNA", at positions 509 to 807 of the family's 1533-position model. The record is from RNAcentral.